This is a long non-coding RNA of Micropterus dolomieu (smallmouth bass), 1434 nucleotides long. RefSeq lists it as uncharacterized. NCBI's taxonomy places the organism in Eukaryota, Metazoa, Chordata, Actinopteri, Centrarchiformes, Centrarchidae. The record is from RefSeq and is a predicted model, not a curated record. The transcript is spliced from 2 exons.
AACAGCAGUGCUCUCUUCUCGCAUGCCUUGUUGACAUAAUGAAUAACAAAUGACAAGACGUUAGGUCAGUGUAGCAGGUCCAUUAUGGAACCGGUUCUCGAUACUCUACCCUACUUGCGAGUGUGUGAGUAACAUAAUUUCUCAUUCUUGAUUGGAAAUGGCAACUUCAAUCUUCAAGGCCGACUCUGAUCCAGAACACGAAUGAAGAGCUAAAUAAAGAUUAGAGCAGGACGUCUCAAUUUGAAAAAUGCAGUGUGACGUGAGGUGAAGCACUGACCAGGAUCUCCUCUCCGGCGUCGUACUUGCUCUCUAUCUCCUUGCCCAGGUCCCCCUCAGGAAUCUUCAGGUCCUCUCUCAGCUCCCCGCUGUCCUGGAGCAGGGACAGGUAGCCUUCUUGGAUCCCAAUCAGCUGGGAGAGGGGAACAAUGGAAAACAUUAUUUUGAUCCAUGCAUCGUUAUUUUUUUUCCUCUUUCUGUUCUUUAUUUCUUUUAUACAAUGUAUGUGCACUGAACUUACCGGUGGUUUCUAAGUAUGCACGUGUGAUUCAUACUCUUAAUGCACAAGCAAGUUUAUUUCAUGCACAAACAUUUCAGUUUGAAUUAUUUACAUGACAUAUAGCCCAGCAUCAUUAGGAACUGUUUCCCCUAUUAUACUUCAAAGAGUUAUCCUGACAUGAAGGUACAGGAGCCUGAGGCUGCAUGGUUUCACCUCUACAGGAAACCCUACACUAUUUGCUCUUCAGUCUGGCGAGCUGUGGCCAUUCCACUACACUGAACAUGUUUUAACCCAACCGGUUUGAUCAGAUGUGUAACAUAUCAGGUUUGCAGUCUUUCCACAAAUAGAACGUAAUCAGGAGGAAGCGGGCCUGCUUAGACGUUUCUGAAAUAUGAAAUUCAUUUGUAUCGUUCCCUAUAAAUUACACGACGAGUUUGAGGUGAAAUUACAGAAGUUCGGAGGUGGUAAAACCUGCAUUAACUGACUUUUGCUGCAAAAUUCUCCACUAUGUUCACCAGCAAGUCGCUAACUUUGUCUGUCUCAUUGCUGGGCAGGUAGCACACGGUAGAUUUAUCGGAGCUUUUCAGCUGAAAACGACGCUGACGAGAGCUGCGAGACUGAAACACAAUGGUAGCAAAACAAGGAGCUGAAAGACACUAAGCUCCCUUCAUGUGUUCUGCUGCACCAGACUAAAUGUGUGUUUCUAACAGUCAUUUAUAGAUAAACCGUACAAUUUUAAAAAGUUACCAGGAUUGUUCUCUGACAUCAGUACUAGUUGUUUCUCUUUCUUUCUUUGUGUGUUUUGUCUGCAAAGCUGUUCUCACUAAAGAGAUUCUUAGGUGAGUAAUAAUCAUGGGUCUUUUUCAAAUAACCGCUUAUUGUGCCCCAGCAGCCUCUGAAACUAUGUUGCUUAUUAAAGACCAAAGCAUAUUUGUGUA